GACGAAGGGGGCUAGCGUUGCUCGGAAUCACUGGGCGUAAAGGGUGCGUAGGCGGGUCUUUAAGUCAGGGGUGAAAUCCUGGAGCUCAACUCCAGAACUGCCUUUGAUACUGAGGAUCUUGAGUUCGGGAGAGGUGAGUGGAACUGCGAGUGUAGAGGUGAAAUUCGUAGAUAUUCGCAAGAACACCAGUGGCGAAGGCGGCUCACUGGCCCGAUACUGACGCUGAGGCACGAAAGCGUGGGGAGCAAACAGG
This 253-nucleotide ribosomal RNA is filed under the name uncultured bacterium. Its description in RNAcentral is "partial 16S ribosomal RNA". It matches the Rfam family "Bacterial small subunit ribosomal RNA", at positions 524 to 776 of the family's 1533-position model. The record is from RNAcentral.